This 607-nucleotide ribosomal RNA is filed under the name uncultured soil bacterium. RNAcentral describes it as "bacterial SSU rRNA". It matches the Rfam family "Bacterial small subunit ribosomal RNA", at positions 224 to 823 of the family's 1533-position model. The record is from RNAcentral.
GACGAGCCCGCGGCGGAUUAGCUUGUUGGUGGGGUAACGGCCUACCAAGGCAGCGAUCCGUAGCUGGUCUGAGAGGACGAUCAGCCACACUGGGACUGAGACACGGCCCAGACUUCUACGGAAGGCAGCAGUGGGGAAUCUUGCGCUAAUGCGGGAAACCGUGACGCAGCGACGCCGCGUGAGGGAAGAAGGCCUUCGGGUUGUAAACCUCUUUCAGGAGGGACGAAGCUACUCGGGUUAAUAGCCCAGAGGGUGACGGUACCUCCAGAAGAAGCCCCGGCUAACUACGUGCCAGCAGCCGCGGUAAUACGUAGGGGGCAAGCGUUGUCCGGAUUUAUUGGGCGUAAAGAGCGUGUAGGCGGCUUUACAGGUCCGUUGUGAAAACUCGAGGCUCAACCUCGAGACGCCGGUGGAAACCGUAAAGCUAGAGUCCGGAAGAGGAGAGUGGAAUUCCUGGUGUAGCGGUGAAAUGCGCAGAUAUCAGGAAGAACACCCGUGGCGAAGGCGGCUCUCUGGGACGGUACUGACGCUGAGACGCGAAAGCGUGGGGAGCGAACAGGAUUAGAUACCCUGGUAGUCCACGCCGUAAACGAUGGGUGCUAGGUGU